This is a long non-coding RNA of Grus americana (Whooping crane), 1146 nucleotides long. RefSeq lists it as uncharacterized. Lineage: Eukaryota; Metazoa; Chordata; Aves; Gruiformes; Gruidae. The record is from RefSeq and is a predicted model, not a curated record. The transcript has 5 exons.
CCCCUGGCGGCGCCGUUCGAGCGGGCCUGAGAUAACGGCCGCGGCGGGGGCGCGGCCCCUCCGUCCCCUCCCGCCGCCGUGCCCGGUCCCUCCGCUCCACAGCGCCGCCCGCAGCCGGCGGGCCUCGGCGGGCCGACACAGCCAACCAGAGCCGGGCGCCUGACGGCGAAAAGCGAGCGGUAACGGGACUGGUGCGCGCUGCGGGGCCGGAGGCGGAGCCGCGCCGUCCCUCAGGCCGUAGCCCCCCCUCAGGCCGCAGCCCUUUCUCCCGCCCUGCGGUCCUCGCCCGUCUCAGCGCCGCCCGUUCCCCGCCGAGGGUAAAAUAUCCUUGUAUGCCUGCACACAGACAGGCCCAUCACCCAGGGAGCCAAAGUUCAGCUUCUCAAGUCUGAUUUAUGCUGCCAGUUUGAGUGGCCAGCUGAGGAGUCACUUCACUGAGAGCUGGAAGGUGCUGGGCUGUGGUAGCAACAGAAUGGUGUAAUGAGAAGGAUGGAAUCUCAAAGUGUUUGGACCUUGAAUCACUAACAGACUGGAAUAAAUUCCAAGGGCAGGAGUCCAGUUGCCCUAGGUUGGAAUAACAUCUCAUGGAGCUGUAACUCACUUCUGGAAGCAGACACAGGAGGAAACACAACCUGCAUAUUGCACCAUCUGCUGGUAGCAUCUCCACCAACAGACACACCUAGAACAGAUUUUAUAAUUCCUCUCAAACCUGGCUGGAUACCUCCACAUUUAGAGACAUGAGACCACCAUUACAAAGAUUCAAGAUUCAGGCAGGACAGACCGGCCUCCACCAGCAGCUGUUGCAGUCAGCAGGAGCCAUAGCACCCGAAGAAGAGGUAUAGCCUCUCUGGCCCCAUCACCUGCUGCCUGAGGAUGGUUGUGGUCAAGCGGCUCAUCGCCCUCCGGGCAAAGCCUUUGGUGCGGAUGGGUCUGUGCCGGUCCCGUAGCAGCGCUGUGCCGCGUCUUGUCCUCAUCACAGAGCCAUUCCCUCCGAAACUGCUGAACUCCCUGCUGGAAACUCUCACCUGAAGAAUGGGACACAAUGAUGCUUGUAGGGUUCCUUGCCCAUCCCAGAGACUUAAUAUAUAUUAAAAUUAAACACAGCGCUUCGUUACUGUCGAAGACAUCGUAACGUGAGUGAAGUGA